CGCCUCUUGCAAUCCAAGUAUAAGAGGUCCCGCCUGCCCUGUGACCUUGUGUUUAACGGCCGCGGUAUUCUGACCGUGCGAAGGUAGCGCAAUCACUUGUCUUUUAAAUGAAGACCUGUAUGAAUGGCACGACGAGGGCUUAGCUGUCUCCUUCUCCCAGUCAAUGAAAUUGAUCUCCCCGUGCAGAAGCGGGGAUUAACCCAUAAGACGAGAAGACCCUAUGGAGCUUUAGACAAAAGGCAGACCACGUUUAACCCACCUCUUCUAUAGGACUAAACACAGUGCCCCCUGACCUUAAUGUCUUUGGUUGGGGCGACCGCGGAGGAAAACCAAGCCUCCAUGUGGACCGGGAGAACCCACUCCUAAAGUCAAGAGCCACAGCUCUAAGCAACAGAACUUCUGACCAAAAAUGAUCCGGUAACACCGAUCAACGAACCAAGUUACCCUAGGGAUAACAGCGCAAUCCCCUCCCAGAGUCCCUAUCGACAAGGGGGUUUACGACCUCGAUGUUGGAUCAGGACAUCCUAAUGGUGCAACCGCUAUUAAGGGUUCGUUUGUUCAACGAUUAAAGUCCU
RNAcentral lists this ribosomal RNA (575 nucleotides) under Glossanodon semifasciatus (deepsea smelt). RNAcentral's name for it is "partial 16S ribosomal RNA". It matches the Rfam family "Bacterial large subunit ribosomal RNA", at positions 1817 to 2597 of the family's 2925-position model. The record is from RNAcentral. Lineage: Eukaryota; Metazoa; Chordata; Actinopteri; Argentiniformes; Argentinidae.